This 158-nucleotide ribosomal RNA is filed under the name Acaulospora lacunosa. RNAcentral's name for it is "5.8S ribosomal RNA". It matches the Rfam family "5.8S ribosomal RNA". Rfam says of the family: 5.8S ribosomal RNA (5.8S rRNA) is a component of the large subunit of the eukaryotic ribosome. It is transcribed by RNA polymerase I as part of the 45S precursor that also contains 18S and 28S rRNA. Functionally, it is thought that 5.8S rRNA may be involved in ribosome translocation. The record is from RNAcentral. Lineage: Eukaryota; Fungi; Glomeromycota; Glomeromycetes; Diversisporales; Acaulosporaceae.
UAACUUUCAACAACGGAUCUCUAGGCUCUUACAUCGAUGAAGAACGCAGUGAAAUGCGAUAGGUAAUGUGAAUUGCAGAAUUCCGUGAAUCAUCAAAUCUUUGAACGCAAAUUGCACUCUCUGGUAUUCCGGGGAGUAUGCUUGCUUGAGGGUUAGUU